RNAcentral lists this ribosomal RNA (457 nucleotides) under uncultured Pseudomonadota bacterium. Its description in RNAcentral is "bacterial SSU rRNA". It matches the Rfam family "Bacterial small subunit ribosomal RNA", at positions 354 to 831 of the family's 1533-position model. Lineage: Bacteria; Pseudomonadati; Pseudomonadota. The record is from RNAcentral.
UGGGGGAAUAUUGGACAAUGGGCGAAAGCCUGAUCCAGCAAUGCCGCGUGAGUGAUGAAGGCCUUAGGGUUGUAAAGCUCUUUUACCCGGGAUGAUAAUGACAGUACCGGGAGAAUAAGCUCCGGCUAACUCCGUGCCAGCAGCCGCGGUAAUACGGAGGGAGCUAGCGUUAUUCGGAAUUACUGGGCGUAAAGCGCACGUAGGCGGCUUUGUAAGUUAGAGGUGAAAGCCUGGAGCUCAACUCCAGAAUUGCCUUUAAGACUGCAUCGCUUGAAUCCAGGAGAGGUGAGUGGAAUUCCGAGUGUAGAGGUGAAAUUCGUAGAUAUUCGGAAGAACACCAGUGGCGAAGGCGGCUCACUGGACUGGUAUUGACGCUGAGGUGCGAAAGCGUGGGAGCAACAGGAUAGAUACCCUGGUAGUCCACGCCGUAAACGAUGAUAACUAGCUGUCGGGGCUC